Molecule: long non-coding RNA, 123 nt
Organism: Scylla paramamosain (green mud crab)
Lineage: Eukaryota; Metazoa; Arthropoda; Malacostraca; Decapoda; Portunidae
Exons: 2
Source: RefSeq, a predicted model, not a curated record
GGAGGAGGAGGAGGAGGAGGAGGAGGAUGGAGGGGACAAACAAACAAGUUAUAAACACGAUUAAAAAAAAGAAAUAUCCUGACGAUUCUGUGAGGAGGAGGAGGAGGAGGAGGAGGAGGAGGA